GAUGAAGAACGCAGCGAAACGCGAUAUGUAAUGUGAAUUGCAGAAUUCAGUGAAUCAUCGAAUCUUUGAACGCACAUGGCGCCUUCCAGUAUCCUGGGAGGCAUGCCUGUCCGAGUGUCGUUUCAACCCUCGAGCCCCCGUGGCCCGGCGUUGGGGAUCUGCCCAGGCAGUCCCCGAAAACCAGUGGCGGACCCGUUACAGGCCCUUCCCUUGCGUAGUAGCAUUCGCCUCGCAUCGGGAGCCGGCGGGCUUCCAGCCUCUAAACCCCCAUCAAGUCCGCCCCGGCGGCACCAAGGUUGACCUCGGAUCAGGUAGGAAUACCCGCUGAACUUAAGCAUAUCAAUAAGCGGAGGA
RNAcentral lists this unclassified non-coding RNA (354 nucleotides) under soil metagenome. RNAcentral's name for it is "partial contains 5.8S ribosomal RNA, internal transcribed spacer 2, and large subunit ribosomal RNA". The stretch from base 1 to 120 matches the Rfam family "5.8S ribosomal RNA", at positions 35 to 154 of the family's 154-position model. The record is from RNAcentral.